Molecule: ribosomal RNA, 194 nt
Filed under: uncultured bacterium
Lineage: Bacteria
Description: partial 16S ribosomal RNA
Rfam family: Bacterial small subunit ribosomal RNA
Source: RNAcentral
UACGGAGGGUGCAAGCGUUAAUCGGAAUUACUGGGCGUAAAGCGCGCGUAGGCGGCUGGAUAAGUCGAUUGUGAAAGCUUUGGGCUCAACCCGAGAAUUGCAGCCGAGACUGUUCGGCUAGAGUGUGGGAGAGGGUGGUGGAAUUCCCGGUGUAGCGGUGAAAUGCGUAGAUAUCGGGAGGAUUUUUUAAGGAG